GGGGUUGUGGCUCAGUGGCAGAGCAUUCGCCUCACGUGCGAGGCCCUGGAUUUGAUCCUCAGCACCACA
Molecule: transfer RNA, 69 nt
Filed under: Marmota monax (woodchuck)
Lineage: Eukaryota; Metazoa; Chordata; Mammalia; Rodentia; Sciuridae
Description: tRNA.Val
Rfam family: tRNA
About the family: Transfer RNA (tRNA) molecules are approximately 80 nucleotides in length. Their secondary structure includes four short double-helical elements and three loops (D, anti-codon, and T loops).
Source: RNAcentral